AACCAAGAGAAACACAAUGGUUCAUCUACAGAUGCAUUAAUUGGAAAAACUUGGGGCCUGUUAGAAGUAAUGGGAAAUGAUGUAACUAGGUUAUGUGUGGAAGAUUGUGAUUGGAUGCACCCAAAAGGGAACUGUGAAUGAUUGGUUAAAGUUAGAUAUGGUGCCAUGUCUGAAAUGUAUAUAAAGAGCAUUGUAACCGACGGUGCUUUGCUGCAAGCUACAUCUCCAUGUAGUGUGUAUCCCUGGGACCAGUUCGGGUUAUUUUCUGUCUUGCUGAUAAACCUUCUUCAUCCGAAUCCAGUCUUCGUGAGGUCUGCUGUGUUAUUUCUCCUAAGAAGAAGUCAGGGUACACUCUCCCACACACAGAGGAAGCCACACUAAAGUUAGGCAUUACAUGAAGUGCUACAACACACACGCACACACAGGAUCAAAUAUAAGGAAUAGAUGUUUAUCAUAAAUAAUGAUAAGAAGAAGACAAUAGCAAUGAUUGCAGAAAACAAGUCAAAUGUAUGCACUCACCCAUAGUGAACAGGAACGGGAGAUUGAAGAAAAAAGUCAAGGUCUUCACGCGUUGAUGACCAAAAUGUUCAUGCCUUAGGGAGCCGAUGAGGUUUUUAUAACAGGGAAAAUGAAAACAGCCGAACAUAAGGGAACGGGGGAAAAACUUAAAAGAGAAACGUAACGGGCAUGAGAAAAAAACUGAAACAUAAACAUAUUGCGCUGGGAAAAACAGCAGCGCCUCCGGGCCCAUUUAGUUGCCGAAUGGGGGGGGGGGUUACUUUAUAUGUGAACAUCAUUUACAGUAUUGUGCAAAAGUUUUAGGCACCCUACUUUUUUUUUUUUAGCACAAACUUUGUUAUGGAUUUUUUUAUCUUAUGACUUCUACAUUAUCGAGUCAGUACAAAAACAUUUGAGAUUUCCAAACAUUAGUUUUCCAGCACAAAAUGAAAUGUUAGUAAAUGGUCUGCGCUUAUAUAGCGCUCUUUUUUAACCUUAGCAGUUCCAAAGCGCUUUACACUGGUUCUCAUGUACCCAUUCACACACCAAUGGUAGCAGAUGUGCCAUGCAAGGCGCUAGCUUCAGCGUCUUGCCCAAGGACACUUCGGCAUGUGGAGUCGUGUGGGGUGGGAAUCGAACCGCCAACCCUACGGUUAGCAGGUUGAAUAGCGGACCCUACGGUUAGCAAGUUGAUUAGCGGAGCCUACGGUUAGCAGGUUGAUUAGCAGAGCCUACGGUUAGCAGGUUGAUUAGCGGACCCUACGGUUAGCAGGUUGAUCAGCGGAGUCUACGGUUAGCAGGUUGAUCAGCGGAGUCUACGGUUAGCAGGUUGAUUGACCCGCUCUACCACCUGAGCCACAGCCACCCUAUGUUACCGAAAAAUGUUUUUAUGUAAGUAAUGAAAGCAGUAUAUUACAUAAGAGACCACUUUUCAGACAAAAACACAAUGAAGGCUGCUGGGUUUUGCUGCAAAAAUAAGAAGCGAGUGCGACAGUCAAAGUCUCCAGAAGAACCGUGUCUGGAUCUGCAAAAUGCUCAAUAAAACUUAACAGCUUAUUUCCUUAUAAAACUACACAAACUGUACCAGACUAUUUCAUUUUUUUCAUUUACUACUGUUUACGGUAUUUUUUUAAAAUGUAGAAACAUUUAAUUUCAAAGCAUUGUCAAAACAUUUAAAGGCAUCUUUGCAGCAUUCCUUUGCAUGUACCUAAAACUUUUGCACAGUACUGUAAGCUUUUAACAUGUUGGAUGUGGGAACACUCAUUACUACUUAAUGUACAAUCUGUAUUUUUAGAGAAUGUCCAUAUUAUUGUCUGCCUCUUUUGUUGUAGGAACUUAUGUUAAUCAGCCUUAUCCUCUAUGCUGCGUGUUUAUGAAGUGAUCGUGACCCAGAUGCCAUGGCAAAAAGAUACAUUAACAUCAUACACAGAGUAUCCACUACAUUAUACAUUGCAUUGCUGAGGAUUGUCAAAAGAGACCCAGAGAUAGUAGCAGUAGUAGAAAUAGCAUAACAUACAUUAGAUAUUAGUAUAUAAUUUUAUAUAAGUUUAUAUUCAAGAAAACUUCCAUUGUUUUGAACAUAAUUAUAAAUAAGGAUCCUGUGGGAGUGAAUCUCUGACACAAUGCACACACGAGGGAAAUAGGAAAAAGUUUUGAUCAAUGUUUAAGGGGGAAAAUGGGCAUAAGAACUAAUAUCGAUUAAUAAGACAGGGCUGGUAGGAAAAUAAUCUGUGGGAGUAUCGGGGGUGUAGUCAGGAGGAUCAGUAGAACUGUCAGUCUGCGUCGCUGGACUAUUAGGCAUGGAAAUGUCAUCAGAUAGGCCUUCAAUGGAAGACAUAGCAGUAUAAUUGGCAGUCUCAGUCUGAGUAGAUUCCACAGUAUCAGCUGGUACAAUGUGAUAAAAUAACGGCGGGGGAAAGUCCAGAGGAAUAGAAGAACAAAUUAAUCUUUCAAAAAGAGCCAUUAGGUCCACUGAUAGAUGGGCUCACUGAUGACUUAAAUACUGGUCUAGGCCUGUAAAAUUGAGCAAAUGCUGGAAAGGAGAAGGAGGGCGCUGGCCAGAAAAAGAACGAGAGAGGCAUCAGUGCACUAUAUAUGUGAGAUGAUAAGUCAUUAUUUUAUGUUAAUACAUUAACAUAACGUGACACAAUAGCAUAACCAUCACGCAUGCAUAAUACGUUUAAAAAGCAUUAUGAUACUCGUGCUCAAUAUACUUA
Long non-coding RNA from Ictalurus punctatus (channel catfish), 2714 nucleotides. The record is from Ensembl. Lineage: Eukaryota; Metazoa; Chordata; Actinopteri; Siluriformes; Ictaluridae.